AAAUCAAAAUUAUAUUUGUGCUUUCUAGAGCUGGGAUUUCAUUUUAAAGACAAAAGAAAAGCAUCUUUGCCUAUGACAUUUGCCAGAGUAAUAAAAAUAAAGCCAAGGACAAGAAAGGGGCAUUGUUUUAGUGUCAGAUCUCAAAAUUUUAUCAAUUCUGCUAUAUAUGGUCAUCUGAUACCAUUCACCAUGUAUCCAUACCCAUUCACCUGCAACCCUCGUCUGUAUUCAUUCUUUAGAUAUGCCUCACACACAUGCCUAUAUAUAUAUAUAUAUUUUAUGUAUGUGUACGUAUAUGCUUUUAGAGGAAUGUGUGCUAUCUAAAGGAAUGUGCUUUGAAGAGUUCUAUUCGAUCUCUUUUGAAAAAUGACUACAUGAGUACACGUUUUUUCCCCCCACUAAAAUUCAGUCAUCGUUGGUUUUCUCAAUAUCUAAUCAAAGAUAUGCUAUUUUCUAUGAUGGCCUUUUCGGCCGCUGCCUCUUGUUUGUGGUGUAAUUUUCGCAAUAUUUUCACUUGUGCUGUUUGGGGAGUUGAAAUGGAAAAUAAAAGAGUACAUUGAACAAUUAUUGGAGCCUAUUUAUAUGCAAGAUGAGUCCAUUUUGUAUGCAUGAUGUACAGUUUCUUGAGUUCUGCCUGCAUAUGGUGUCCUUAUUGAGAAACUUUUGAUUGGAGAAAGUUCGUCUUACAUUGUCUACUUAUUAUGUCCUGAUUACAGGUGCUUUCUGUGACAGUUUGCAAUCACUUUAAGAGGUUCUCUUAGAACAUCUUCACUCCUUACUCAAACCUCGACUCAAACUCAAAAUUUGAGUGCAAGUCCUUAAAAAGCUCCUCCACUUCUUACUCAAACCUAUAUCAAAUUUGAUUUUUACUCAAAUUUGAACUCAAAUUAGGUUGGACUCAAACCCUUACUCAAAUUUUAAAGGCUAAUUUCACGCCCUUAAUGAAGUUUUUACUCAAAUUUUGUGCUUGGAUUUGAGUUUGCCCAUUGGAGCACACAAUACCAAAUGAAUCUUUUACUCAUAUUUUUACUCAAAUUUGAGUAAUGGCGGGAAAUGCUCUAAUGACUCUUUUAAAGAAAUAGUCAGGUCUAAACCCUUGCUUGCCAUGCAUUAUCUUCUCCUUGGCUAUAGAAGUUGAUCUCUAGGAAAGAAUUGUAGCUACCUGUUGGGAGAAUACAAGUAGAGUUUGCUACAGUGUUGGCGCAAAGCAUAUGGUUCCCUCAAAAACCAGACCACAAGCUCGUCUUCAACCAUUUUAUACUUCAGAUUCAGAUGAAGGGGGAUAUCAUAUGUAUAUUGCUGAGUUCAAGGUCGAUGAUGGGCGUAACGACGCUGCCAAGGACACCAUGAACUCUUGCACGGCUGCUUAGGGUGUUGGGCGGCUGUGUCUCAGACAUAAAGUAUUUUGGCAAGAUGGAGGGGCUCAAAGGAAGAACAUGAAUUGAUACAUCUGCAAUUGGAGUCGGACACCAUUAAAUCUAACUCUAAUGGAUCCAAACAUUCUGUGUUCGAUGAUACAUUUUGAGAAAGAUGAACUGAGGAAUCAAGGUGACCUAAAUAAAGAGGAGGUCACAUUCAGCAAUUUGGAGAAGCAGAUAAAGGAUACUGAAACUUAUUGUUUGGUAGCUAAAGAUCCUGAGGACAUUGCUUUGAAUGAUAGCAUACCUGAAGAGGUGAAAAUCAGUGUGUGAUGACUAUGAUAGGAAGGGCAUUUUAGACGAGCUUAAAAUGGAUUGGCUCGAGCAAAGAAAGGGAAGUCCCUGCUUAAGGGACCUCAACCCUGAAGCGUAACCCUACACCGGUGCAUGCGGCAUGAAGUUCCAAUCGAGAAGAAAUCUCUUAAAUAGAUACUAAGUCUCCAUUUAAUUCACAAGCUAUGGACAAUAUCUUCAGAAACGUCAAUGUUGUGCUUCGAGAGGAACACGAUCUGAAUCUGAUCCGCUUUCUUAGGGACAAAGAAAUGGAGAAGGCAAAGUCCAAGGGAAAAAAGAAAGUCAUCUAUGCAAUAAGGGAAAAGAUAAUGCAUGUCUGGUGAUUGGACAUCUUCGAGAGAAAAAUGUUGUCGGUGUUGUGAUCAGAGAGGAGCGAGACCUUGACAUAGCGUAGGCAAAGUCCAAGGGAAAAAAGAAAUUAAUCUUUGCAAGUAAGGGAAAAGAAAAUGCAUUUCAAGUGGUAUGAUUCUUUAGCCAUUCUUUUGUCUUUUAUUUUUGCCAUUUCUUACCAAAUUGGAAUGAAUAUUGUUCAAGCCAAUGAGUAGUUUUAAGACAUGCGUACAAUUGUUAGUUUUUAAUUUUUA
Molecule: long non-coding RNA, 2296 nt
Organism: Rhododendron vialii
Lineage: Eukaryota; Viridiplantae; Streptophyta; Magnoliopsida; Ericales; Ericaceae
Exons: 7
Source: RefSeq, a predicted model, not a curated record